RNAcentral lists this ribosomal RNA (403 nucleotides) under uncultured bacterium. RNAcentral describes it as "partial 16S ribosomal RNA". It matches the Rfam family "Bacterial small subunit ribosomal RNA", at positions 29 to 526 of the family's 1533-position model. The record is from RNAcentral.
AUUGAACGCUGGCGGCAGGCCUAACACAUGCACGUCGAGCGAGCGGCGGACGGGUGAGUAAUGUAUGGGGACUGCCCGAUAGAGGGGGAUAACUACUGGAAACGGUGGCUAAUACCGCAUACUGUCGGAUAACCCAUAUGGGAUUAGCUAGUAGGUAAGGUAAUGGCCUACCUAGGCGACGAUCCCUAGCUGGUUUGAGAGGAAGAACAGCCAAAGUGGAAUUGAGACAAGGCCCAGACUCCUACGGGGGCAGCAGUGGGGAAUAUGGCACAAGGGGCGAAAGCCGGAUGCAGCCAUGCCGCGUGUUUGAAGAGGGCCCUAGGGUUGUAAAGUACGUUCAGUGGGGAGGCGUUACCGACAGAAGAAGCACCGGCUAACUCCGUGCCAGCAGCCGCGGUAAUUC